AAUUUCGAUAAAUUCAUAUGAGAAGUUCAUAAAAUAUACCUCAGGACUAUUGCCACCUAUAAGUACUGAGAUCUCACUUUAUAAAAAAAACGAUGUGUCUAGUGCAAGUAUGAUAUCUAUGACUAUUGGAAAAAAAAUAGUCGUAACGAGCAAUCCUUUGAAGGCUCAAGAUCAAGCUCAAAACAGAAAAAGUUUAAGAAGGCUACUUUAGCCUUAUCAUCCUUAUCUUCAACGUCAAGUGCUAGAAG
This 248-nucleotide long non-coding RNA is filed under the name Carica papaya (papaya). RNAcentral's name for it is "long non-coding RNA (CPAP_LNC005116)". The record is from RNAcentral. Lineage: Eukaryota; Viridiplantae; Streptophyta; Magnoliopsida; Brassicales; Caricaceae.